CAGUCGAACGGUCCGCUUCGGCGGAUAGUGGCGCACGGGUGCGUAACACGUAUGCAACCUACCUUACAUUGGGGGAUAGCCUUUCGAAAGGGAGAUUAAUACCGCAUAAGACAGUAGCUGGGCAUCCAGUAGCUGUUAAAGAUUUAUCGAUGUAAGCUGGGCAUGCGUCCAAUUAGUUAGUUGGUGAGGUAACGGCUCACCAAGACGAUGAUUGGUAGGGGAACUGAGAGGUCAAUCCCCCACACUGGCACUGAGAUACGGGCCAGACUCCUACGGGAGGCAGCAGUAGGGAAUAUUGGGCAAUGGACGCAAGUCUGACCCAGCCAUGCCGCGUGCAGGAAGAAGGCGUUCUGCGUUGUAAACUGCUUUUAUAUAGGAAGAAACGACCCUUGCGAGGGGCAUUGACGGUAUUAUAUGAAUAAGCACCGGCUAACUCCGUGCCAGCAGCCGCGGUAAUACGGAGGGUGCAAGCGUUGUCCGGAUUUAUUGGGUUUAAAGGGUGCGCAGGUGGUUUAUUAAGUCAGUGGUGAAAGACGGUCGCUCAACGAUUGCAGUGCCAUUGAUACUGAUAGACUUGAGUAAAGUAGAGGUGGGCGGAAUUGAUAGUGUAGCGGUGAAAUGCAUAGAUAUUAUCAAGAACUCCGAUUGCGAAGGCAGCUCACUUGGCUUUUACUGACACUCAUGCACGAAAGUGUGGGUAUCAAACAGGAUUAGAUACCCUGGUAGUCCACACUGUAAACGAUGAUAACUAGGUGUUGGCCGAAUCUGGUCAGUGCCACAGCGAAAGCGUUAAGUUAUCCACCUGGGGAGUACGCCCGGCAACGGUGAAACUCAAAGGAAUUGACGGG
This 848-nucleotide ribosomal RNA is filed under the name uncultured bacterium. Its description in RNAcentral is "bacterial SSU rRNA". It matches the Rfam family "Bacterial small subunit ribosomal RNA", at positions 59 to 917 of the family's 1533-position model. The record is from RNAcentral.